UACGUAGGGGGCUUGCGUUGUCCGGAAUCAUUGGGCGUAAAGAGCGUGUAGGCGGCCCGGUAAGUCCGCUGUGAAAGUCGGGGGCUCAACCCUCGAAUGCCGGUGGAUACUGUCGGGCUAGAGUGCGGAAGAGGCGAGUGGAAUUCCUGGUGUAGCGGUGAAAUGCGCAGAUAUCAGGAGGAACACCGAUUGCGAAGGCAGCUCGCUGGGACGUCACUGACGCUGAGACGCGAAAGCGUGCGGAGCAAACAGG
Molecule: ribosomal RNA, 253 nt
Filed under: uncultured bacterium
Lineage: Bacteria
Description: partial 16S ribosomal RNA
Rfam family: Bacterial small subunit ribosomal RNA
Source: RNAcentral